ACAGAGCACUCUGACCUAUUUCAAAAUGGUUCCUUUUCCCUUCUCCUUGCAGGAAGCAGGAAGGGAUUUUUUUCUCACAUAUUUACUGUGCGAACCUGGCCGAGCUCCUGGAGAUAUAUCUCACAGUAUUGUGGGGAGCCCUCUUAUGACUGCCUCUUCCUGGAGUUUUUAAUUCUCAGAGUUGUAUACCCUGAGCCUUCAGCAACUUGUCGAUUAUAGCUCCAGUUUUUCUAUUCUGUACUUGUUCCAAUGGGAGUUUCUGCUGUUGAGUCUCUGCUUUGGAAAUACAAACCAGCCUUUCAGAAUCUGGAUAAACUAUGAAAUCCUGCAUUAUACAGAAUGUCAAACAGACAUAAAAGCCAGCAGAGCAUCAACUGUGGAGCUUAGGAAUCAUCUCAGAAAGAAGUUUACAAUGAAAAUCUUGCUGAGUCCAGAGUCUGAAAGAACUGAAGACUACGGUCGUUUUGACCACAGGAGGAGUCAUUGUCUGAGCCAAAGGACCAUGGGGGCAACUUUGAACCAGGAUAAGUACGAAAGUUGACUAAUACUCAAACUGAUGAGGGUAAGAAUGUGCCUAUCUUUUUUUUUCUUUUAUUAUACUUUCAAAACGUAACACAGCACCUGGCUCAGAGUGGACCCUCCACGAAUAUUACUGAAUAAAUUACUCUCUCAGGCAGAUACACCUUUCACCAAGGACUAUGGUGGAUUAAAAGAGAGACUAUAGAUGUGAAACCAAAAGAACUUGAAAUCAAGGCACACAUUAGUAUUUACUAACUUUGUAACAGUCAAAAAAUUGUAUAAUAUGCUUCAGCCUCUUUAUCCGAAAUAAUUCUUACCUUUCAUUGCUCUAAAGAUUGAAUGGGAAAAUUUAAGAAAAUACAUAAUUAGAAAAAAUGUCAAUUCCUGUUUGAAGUCAUCUGCUCACAAAAAAAAAUGAAAGCAAAAACAGUUUUAAAUUCUUAUAAUCAAGUGUUAAUAUCAGAGCUUCUUUUAGUUCUUUCAACAUCACUGAUAUUUUUGUCCCUAUUUGUCAUGGUCUUUAUGUUUUCUUUUGGGAGGGGUGGAAUUCAUUAAUCUGAAAUAUUCUUUUUCCACUCAAUUGACCUUAAGUUGCUAAAGAGUAUAUUUUAAGUUAGAUGUAAAGAACUUCUUGUAUUUUUUUAUUAGAAUGAGUUAAAUAUCUUAAACAAUUUCUAUUACCUGUGACAUUACUGAAGAUACAAAAUUCUUUACCAUAUCAACAGAUAGCAUAACUUCUGAAGAUACAGCUAACUUGUGGUUUAGAUUAUGCUAUGAUCUGAAUGUUUGUGUUUCCCCAAAAUUCACGUUGAAAUCCUAACCUCCAAAGGUGAUGGUAUUAGUAGAUGGGGCCUUUGGGAGAUGAUUAGGUCAGAGGAUGGAGCCCUCAUGCAAUUGCUUGUAUUAU
RNAcentral lists this long non-coding RNA (1426 nucleotides) under Equus caballus (horse). RNAcentral describes it as "lncRNA (ENSECAG00000059017.1)". The record is from RNAcentral. Lineage: Eukaryota; Metazoa; Chordata; Mammalia; Perissodactyla; Equidae.